Unclassified non-coding RNA from Mesocricetus auratus (golden hamster), 288 nucleotides. Its record names the gene 7SK. It matches the Rfam family "7SK RNA". From Rfam's summary of the family: 7SK was discovered as an abundant small nuclear RNA in the mid-70s but a possible function has only recently been suggested. Two independent studies have found that 7SK RNA binds the CDK9/cyclin T complex (known as elongation factor P-TEFb). P-TEFb activates transcription by phosphorylating the C-terminal domain of RNA polymerase II. The record is from Ensembl. NCBI's taxonomy places the organism in Eukaryota, Metazoa, Chordata, Mammalia, Rodentia, Cricetidae.
GGAUGAUGUGAUGCUGUGGCAUCUGUCACCACAUUGAUGGUGAAGUUGAUUCUUGGCUGAUCUGGCUGGCUAAGCAAGCAUCCCCUUCCUCCCUCACUGCUCCAUGUGGGGCCCUCCUGAAGACAUACUUGGUUCAGGAGGAUGCUCUUUCUCAAUACAGGAGGACUGUUCUUUGUUUAAGGGUGUGUAUAUGAGCAGCUAUGCUCCCCAGCUAGAAACAAACAUCCCAAAUUCAGGAGAGCUCAGGAUAGGGUCCAGGUGGAGAACUGCAUUCCAGAUGACUCACUG